UACGUAGGUCCCGAGCGUUGUCCAGAUUUAUUGGGUGUAAAGGGCGUGUAGGCGGGAAUGCAAGUCAGAUGUGAAAACUCAGGGCUCAACCCUGAGCCUGCAUUUGAAACUGUAUUUCUUGAGUGCUGGAGAGGCAAUCGGAAUUCCGUGUGUAGCGGUGAAAUGCGUAGAUAUACGGAGGAACACCAGUGGCGAAGGCGGAUUGCUGGACAGUAACUGACGCUGAGGCGCGAAAGCGUGGGGAGCAAACAGG
RNAcentral lists this ribosomal RNA (253 nucleotides) under uncultured bacterium. RNAcentral's name for it is "partial 16S ribosomal RNA". It matches the Rfam family "Bacterial small subunit ribosomal RNA", at positions 524 to 776 of the family's 1533-position model. The record is from RNAcentral.